This 432-nucleotide ribosomal RNA is filed under the name Acanthamoeba sp. Its description in RNAcentral is "SSU rRNA". The stretch from base 1 to 362 matches the Rfam family "Eukaryotic small subunit ribosomal RNA", at positions 772 to 1114 of the family's 1831-position model. The record is from RNAcentral. Lineage: Eukaryota; Discosea; Longamoebia; Acanthamoebidae.
GGGUAAGGGCGGGCAGAUUCAAUUUUCUGCCACCGAAUACAUUAGCAUGGGAUAAUGGAAUAGGACCCUGUCCUCCUAUUUUCAGUUGGUUUUGGCAGCGCGAGGACUAGGGUAAUGAUUAAUAGGGAUAGUUGGGGGCAUUAAUAUUUAAUUGUCAGAGGUGAAAUUCUUGGAUUUAUGAAAGAUUAACUUCUGCGAAAGCAUCUGCCAAGGAUGUUUUCAUUAAUCAAGAACGAAAGUUAGGGGAUCGAAGACGAUCAGAUACCGUCGUAGUCUUAACCAUAAACGAUGCCGACCAGCGAUUAGGAGACGUUGAAUACAAAACACCACCAUCGGCGCGGUCGUCCUUGGCGUUCGUGUUCACGCACGGGCGCGAGGGCGGUUUAGCCCGGUGGCACCGGUGAAUGACUCCCUAGACUUUUUGUUGGGGAA